GGGGUUUCGCUCUUUCGAUCGCUGCCUUCACACGGCAGAGGUCACUGGUUCGAUCCCAGUAGCGCCCA
This 68-nucleotide transfer RNA is filed under the name Acidobacteriota bacterium. Its description in RNAcentral is "Acidobacteria bacterium tRNA-Val". Lineage: Bacteria; Pseudomonadati; Acidobacteriota. RNAcentral also lists the same sequence under 1 other name. The record is from RNAcentral.